CUCAUUAAAAAAUAACCCGCAACUAUAAAGAAAUAGGUAAAGGGGGUGCCAAACAAAAAAAAAAAAAAAAAAAAAAAAAACUGCAAAUAAACCCCUCAUUCCUUGAUACUGGCCCCCACAUUCGUUGGAAAAAAAAAACAAACAUUGUCGCGUGACCAAGACCACGAGCUGAGACCAAAAACACCCUUUCACGAGGUGGGAGCGGUGUGAAGCUCGUGGUGGCUUGUGGUCGAGUACCACGAGUCCACUACGGAUGGUGUGAAGAAACAAGUAAUAAAUUGGCUUGGUGGUAAAUGCAUUGCUUUUCCACCUCGGUAGCCAGAUUCAAUCCUUGGUUAAACACGAAGAUUGGACGUGUUUUGGGG
Long non-coding RNA from Helianthus annuus (common sunflower), 365 nucleotides. RefSeq lists it as uncharacterized. The record is from RefSeq and is a predicted model, not a curated record. The transcript has 2 exons. NCBI's taxonomy places the organism in Eukaryota, Viridiplantae, Streptophyta, Magnoliopsida, Asterales, Asteraceae.